RNAcentral lists this ribosomal RNA (460 nucleotides) under Leptobrachium hendricksoni (spotted litter frog). Its description in RNAcentral is "partial 12S rRNA". It matches the Rfam family "Bacterial small subunit ribosomal RNA", at positions 868 to 1522 of the family's 1533-position model. Lineage: Eukaryota; Metazoa; Chordata; Amphibia; Anura; Megophryidae. The record is from RNAcentral.
UCCGCCCGGGGACUACGAGCUUUAGCUUAAAACCCAAAGGACUUGGCGGUGCCCUAUUCCACCUAGAGGAGCCUGUUCUAUAAUCGAUAAUCCACGAUAUACCUCACCAUUUCUUGCCAAAACUGCCUAUAUACCGCCGUCGUCAAUUUACCCUUUGAAGGACCCAUAGAAAGUUAAAAGGUACUCGCCAAAACGUCAGGUCAAGGUGUAGCGAAUGAAAUGGGAAGAAACGGGCUACAUUUUCUAAAAUAGACUAAACGGAAAAUCAAUAUGAAAUCUGAUCAAGAAGGAGGAUUUAGUAGUAAAAAGAAAUCAGCAAGUUCUUUUUAACAUGGCCCUAGGGCGCGCACACACCGCCCGUCACCCUCUUCGACUCUUCUAAUUAUUUACUUAAUAAACUACCUUGAAUUAAGAAGAGGUAAGUCGUAACAUGGUAAGUAUACCGGAAGGUGUACUUGGA